GAGAAUCACUUCACCGCCGGAGAUGCCGUCCGCGACAUCAUCAUUGGUGUCUCUGACGGCCUCACCGUCCCCUUCGCACUCGCUGCCGGCUUGUCCGGCGCCAACGCCCCUUCCUCCAUCGUCCUCACCGCCCGCCUCGCCGAAGUUGCCGCCCGCGCCAUGAAGUUGCCGCCGGCGCCAUCUCCAUGGGCCUCGGAGGGUGAGUACACACAGAGCACCGAUAUCAAAAUUUUGAAAAUUUGUACCAAUCGAUUGAUCCCGAUCGUGGAUUAUUUACGCGAUCCAGAUUCUGAAUGGCGGGAAUAGAAUU
This 310-nucleotide long non-coding RNA is filed under the name Linum usitatissimum (flax). RNAcentral describes it as "long non-coding RNA (LUSI_LNC004646)". Lineage: Eukaryota; Viridiplantae; Streptophyta; Magnoliopsida; Malpighiales; Linaceae. The record is from RNAcentral.